UUUCCAACACUCAUAUCAAGUCACAUACUACACAUGUUACAUUACACAUCAUGUUAUUUCAUAUUUUAAAACCAAGUAAAACCAUAAUGUCUAUUUGAAAAAUCAAGCAGAACAUAUUGUAUUACACAUCAAACUUAUUUUCUAUGUAACAUAUUAAAUUAUUCAACGUAAUAACAUCAAUUUCACAUACUACAUUACACGCAUUAUAUUCAUGUUAAAGGCCGUGAUAGUUUUGAUCUUUUCUUGGCCAAGCUCUCACUAUGCCUCUCCCUUUGUUCCAUCCAUCUAAAGCAAGAAUCUUUUGCUACUCAUGAGCUUUUGACUUGGUCUUGGCAAUCCUUUUCUUCUUAUAGCCAAUUCUGGCUCUCUUCCUCUACAAAGUCAAGGAAGUCACCGGCCUCUAAAUCUUCACUACAUUUGGAGCUACAUUAGGCCCUUGUUUGAGCCUCAUUUUGGGGA
RNAcentral lists this long non-coding RNA (459 nucleotides) under Olea europaea subsp. europaea. The record is from RNAcentral. Lineage: Eukaryota; Viridiplantae; Streptophyta; Magnoliopsida; Lamiales; Oleaceae.